Long non-coding RNA from Magnolia sinica, 1914 nucleotides. RefSeq lists it as uncharacterized. The record is from RefSeq and is a predicted model, not a curated record. The transcript is spliced from 4 exons. NCBI's taxonomy places the organism in Eukaryota, Viridiplantae, Streptophyta, Magnoliopsida, Magnoliales, Magnoliaceae.
GUUCAUGUCCGGAAUGCGAUUGCCGAAGGAGGUUUCUCUUGUGUUUAUCUUGCACGUGAUGUGGGUCCUUCAUCGAAGCAGUAUGCUUUGAAGCACAUGAUAUGUAACGAUGAGGAAUCAUUGGAUCUGGUGAAGAAGGAGGUUUCACUGAUGAAGUUGCUUAAAGGGCAUCCCAAUUUUGUUGGAGCUGAAGAAAUGUAGGGUGGAAAAUAUCAGCUACCUUUUUUUGAUACUUGUAGCCCUUUUUUGGACACAUUCACCCCUUCUGUAAAUAAUCUAAUCCAAGAAGUAGGAAGUCACAAAAGGAGAAAAGGGUGUGUAUAAACAAACAUAGGGUGGAAAAUAUCAGCUACCUUCUUUCUUCUAUCCUAUGUUAGGACGGUUGUUGAAUUUUCACUUUCUUUCUUUCUUUCAUUUGUUUUUGAUGGUUGUUUUCUUUCUCAUUGCAGUUUCAUCACUGUUUUGCUUGAUACAGGCCUUCAGGUGAAGAAGAGACUGCAUUAAGGAUUUCGGGCCUCGAUUAUUUCCUUUAGUUUGUUUCUUGUGAUUUUUUGAGGAUGGGGGAUCAUUUCGUGUUGUUGGUUGAUCAGUUGCUCACUGAAUCCACACUGGAAGCUGCAAUCCAGAGCAGAAAACAGGGUCAAAAUGGGCAUGCUUCAGCAUCAGAGGUAGAAACCGAGAACGAGCUCUCUUUGCAGAAGAGGGAUUUUGGCGAUGGGCUGUGGAAAAUGGUGGAGUGUCGAAUCACUGAAGACAGAGAGGGAGAAGAAGAGAGAAAUGUACUUCCCGAAGAGGAAGCAUGCUAUUAAGUCUGAGAUUGCAAGAUCACUGUUGUAGAGACUGAGCAGAUCAAGCAUAUGACAUGGGAAAAGGAAAGGAUUUAUGAAGAUAUGAAAAAAGAAGAAGACUUAUUAAUCAUUGCGAAAAGCAGUUUUGACUAUAAAAAACAGGAGUUUAUUAAGUUUCUUGGCAAGAUUUCAUCGUACAUGACUCAGAACUAAGCACGUGCUGCAUGAGAUGGAAAAGUCCCAAACUGAGUUGUGGGUGAGAUUGGUUUCUUACAAAUCCGAUGUUAAUUCGGGCGAGCUUCAAACACUAUCCAUUAGUUCUACUACAAUUUGAUAUUCAUAUGGAAAUGGCUCUAUCCACUUCUUCAGUUACUGGUAAGUUGAAUUAGGGAAUGUUUGUAAUCUUUUGUGCAUAGUAGUGGAAGAAGAAUGGGUUGGACCUAAUGGAUGGUCCAAGUAAGUGACAUGCUCAUGAGGACAAAUGUUACUGCGUAUGGGAAGGUUUCUAUACACUUCGCCCACUAAAUCAUUUCUCUUUAGGAAAUUAUGAAAGAGGAAUGUGGCAUGUAAAGACCAAGGUAUUAAAAAGUAGUUAUGUAAUGGCCACUACGUUGUUACAUAACAACCCUUUCUUUUAGACGGUUGCUCUGCUCUUUUUAUUAAACUUUUUUGGUUUUUACUUGAAAUGCAAGCUGCUUUUAUUCUUGUAUGAAUGAUUUAUUUGGAUGCACACAGUUGUACUAUCUUGCUGUACGUUGUUAAUCCAAAAUCUUAAAUCUUUCUAUUUGUAGUACAUUGCAGAUAACAAUCUUGAGAACAACCCAUGGCAUGGAUUUGAUGAGUGGUCACUCAAGAUAAAAACUAAUGCGCCUGAAUGAAGUUUUGAAAAUGUUGUUGGUUUUUCUUCUUCAGUUUUUCUUGAAAGUUAUAUUGGUUGCUUUCAAAAGAUAAGCAACAAGGCCCUCAGUAUUCAAAUAAAAUCGUAGUUGUUGCAUGGUUUCUUUCACAAGUUCUGGUAUAUUGCCUCAAGAAGUUGCAACUCCCACACCUGCGUGAAGCCUUUCCCAUCCACAUGCAGGCACACAUGCCAAUGUGGCACACAUGUACUGGAUAUGAGAUUUCCAUU